UUAGGUAAGAAGUUGCAUUAUAACUCAUAAUCGCUUGGUCGCUGGUUCAAGUCCAGCAGGGGCCACCA
This 68-nucleotide transfer RNA is filed under the name Citrobacter freundii. RNAcentral's name for it is "tRNA-OTHER". The record is from RNAcentral. RNAcentral also lists the same sequence under 6 other names. Lineage: Bacteria; Pseudomonadati; Pseudomonadota; Gammaproteobacteria; Enterobacterales; Enterobacteriaceae.